UGGUAGAUGGGCUAGAAGAGCAUGACAUAUACUGUUGUGUCGAUAUUUUCUCCUCGGACCUUGAAAAUUUAUGGUGGGGAUACGCAAACUUCUCAACAGGCCGUACCAAUAUCCGCAGCUGGUCUCCAAGGUGAAGAGUCUCUAGUCGAUAGAAUAAUGUAGGUAAGGGAAGUCGGCAAAUUAGAUCCGUAACUUCGGGAUAAGGAUUGGCUCUGAAGAUUGAGAUAGUCGGGCUUGAUUGGGAAACAAUAACAUGGUUUAUGUGCUCGUUCUGGGUAAAUAGAGUUUCUAUCAUUUAUGAUAGUUAUUUGUUCCCCGGAUAGUUAGUUACGUAGCCAAUUGUGGAAGUUUCUUGCUAAAAUUUUUAAGAAUACUAAUUUUUAAUUAGUUCUUUUAAAUUAUAACGAUUAUCAAUUAACAAUCAAUUCAGAACUGGCACGGACUUGGGGAAUCCGACUGUCUAAUUAAAACAAAGCAUUGUGAUGGCCCUAGCGGGUGUUGACACAAUGUGAUUUCUGCCCAGUGCUCUGAAUGUCAAAGUGAAGAAAUUCAAGUAAGCGCGGGUCAACGGCGGGAGUAACUAUGACUCUCUUAAGGUAGCCAAAUGCCUCGUCAUCUAAUUAGUGACGCGCAUGAAUGGAUUAACGAGAUUCCUACUGUCCCUAUCUACUAUCUAGCGAAACCACAGCCAAGGGAACGGGCUUGGAAUAAUUAGCGGGGAAAGAAGACCCUUUUGAGCUUGACUCUAAUCUGGCAGUGUAAGGAGACAUAAGAGGUGUAGAAUAAGUGGGAGAUAUUAUUCCUUGUGUUUGAUAUCGCCAAUGAAAUACCACUACUCUUAUUGUUUCCUUACUUACUUGAUUAAAUGGAACGUGUAUCAUUUCCUAGCCAUUAUACGGAUAUAUUUAUUAUAUCUUAUGGUAUUGGGUUUUGAUGCAAGCUUCUUGAUCAAAGUAUCACGAGUUUGUUAUAUAAUCGCAAACAAAUUCUUUAAUGAGAGAGUGCAUUUAUGUAUUUUUAAUUUGAAAUAUUUGGUAUAACUCCAAUUACUCAGGUAUGAUCCAAUUCAAGGACAUUGCCAGGUAGGGAGUUUGACUGGGGCGGUACAUCUCUCAAAUAAUAACGGAGGUGUCCCAAGGCCAGCUCAGUGCGGACAGAAACCACACAUAGAGCAAAAGGGCAAAUGCUGACUUGAUCUCGGUGUUCAGUACACACAGGGACAGCAAAAGCUCGGCCUAUCGAUCCUUUUGGUUUAAAGAGUUUUUAACAAG
Molecule: non-coding RNA, 1271 nt
Filed under: Drosophila willistoni
Lineage: Eukaryota; Metazoa; Arthropoda; Insecta; Diptera; Drosophilidae
Description: Eukaryotic large subunit ribosomal RNA
Rfam family: Eukaryotic large subunit ribosomal RNA
Source: Rfam by way of RNAcentral